AAAAUUAAAUUUUUAUAUUAUAUUAAUAUUAGUAAUUUUUUAUUUUUAAAAAUAUUUAAAAAUAUUAAUUUUUUAGUAUUUUAAUUAGAAAAAAUAUAAUUGAUUUAAAAAUUGUAAAAUAAUUUAUUUAAUUAAUUAAAAGAUUUAUUAAUUUUAGUUUCCUUUUGUAUUAGGAUAAAUUAAAUUAAAUUAAAUUAAACUUUAAUAUUUCGAAAUAAAAAUAAAUAAAUUUGAAUGAUAGUUAAUAUAAAAUUAUUAUUAUUAAUUCUAAUUUAGUGAUGAUAUAUUAUUCAAUUUUUAUAUAUCUAAUUUUUUAAUAAAUGAAUUUAAUUUAAAUAAAUUUUUAUUUUAGGAUAAUUAAUUAUUUUAAAAAAUGUUAUUUAUAAAUCAUUAAAGGUUACAAAAUUUUUAUGAGUAUUAAAAAAUUAUUAGAUGGAUAAGUUUUAUAAAUUAUUAAAAUUAUUUUUACUAAAAUUUUAUAGUUUAAAUUUAAAAUUUAAAAAUUUUUUUUGUUUUUAAUAAUUUUAUUAAAAUUUAAUUUAAAAUAAAUUUUAAAUUAAGAAUAAUUAUUUAAUUAGUAUAUAUAAAAAAUAUAAAUAAUUUUUAAUUUUGGGAAUUAAAUUUAAAUAAUUAGGCAAAAUUUAUUUUCACUUGUUUAACAAAAACAUGGUUUAAUAAAAAAAAUUUUAAAUUAAAUCUGUUCAAUGAAUUUAAUAAAUUUAAAUAAUUGCAGUAUUUUAACUGUGCAAAGGUAGCAUAAUCAUUUGUUUUUUAAUUGGGAACUGGAAUGAAAGAUUUAAUGAAAAAUAAACUUUUUUAAAUUUAAAGGUAGAAUUUAUUUAUAAAAUAAAAAAAUUUUAAUGAAUAUAAAAAACGAUAAGACCCUAUAAAAUUUAAUAUUUUAUAAAAAUAUUUUUAUUUAAAUAAUUAUUUUAAUUAGAGUAUUUAAUUGGGGUGAUUCAAUAAUUUUAAACUUUUUGAGUUAAAUUAAGAAAUUUAAUAAAAUUAUUUUAUAAUGUAAAUUUAGUUAGUAAAAUAAAUUACUUUAGGGAUAACAGCAUAAUUUUUUUAUAUAGUUCUAAUUUAAAAAAAAGAUUAUGACCUCGAUGUUGAAUUAAAAUAAAAAAUUUACAGAAAAAGGUAGUUUAUUUAGUCUGUUCGACUAUAAAAUUUUACAUGAUUUGAGUUCAAAUCGGCGUGAGCCAGAUUGGUUUCUAUUUUUAUAAAAAUUUUAAUUAAUUGUACGAAAGGAAUUUUUUUAGAAUAUUUUGAUUAUUAAAAUAAAUGAU
Molecule: ribosomal RNA, 1289 nt
Filed under: Idris sp. MM-2013
Lineage: Eukaryota; Metazoa; Arthropoda; Insecta; Hymenoptera; Scelionidae
Description: 16S ribosomal RNA
Source: RNAcentral